GUGUUACAUUUUCAGCUAAUUUUCAGUGGUGGAAGAGACCCUCUGGAGUUGCUGCAGUGUGUCUGGGGCUGCUGUGUGUUCUCCUACUGGCUGGGAUCAUAGGCCUGUCUGUCUACUAUGGAGUUAUUGGUCAUCACUACUCAACAGAGAGAGACCAACAGGCCAGUUACAGCCUUCUGACUAAAGAAGGAGAUCAGCAACCCACCAGUUAUAAUAACUUGACUAAAGAGGUAGACCAGCUACAGACCAGUUACAACACCCUGACUAAAGAGAGAGACCAGCUACAGACCAGUUACAACACCCUGA
This is a long non-coding RNA of Coregonus clupeaformis (lake whitefish), 306 nucleotides long. RefSeq lists it as uncharacterized. The transcript has 3 exons. The record is from RefSeq and is a predicted model, not a curated record. Lineage: Eukaryota; Metazoa; Chordata; Actinopteri; Salmoniformes; Salmonidae.